This 57-nucleotide transfer RNA is filed under the name Ovis aries (sheep). It matches the Rfam family "tRNA", at positions 7 to 64 of the family's 71-position model. Rfam says of the family: Transfer RNA (tRNA) molecules are approximately 80 nucleotides in length. Their secondary structure includes four short double-helical elements and three loops (D, anti-codon, and T loops). Lineage: Eukaryota; Metazoa; Chordata; Mammalia; Artiodactyla; Bovidae. The record is from Rfam by way of RNAcentral.
GUGGCUCAGAGGUUAGAGCAUCUGCCUCCAAUGCAGGAGACCUGGGUUCAAUCCUGC